RNAcentral lists this ribosomal RNA (317 nucleotides) under uncultured eukaryote. RNAcentral describes it as "partial 18S ribosomal RNA". It matches the Rfam family "Eukaryotic small subunit ribosomal RNA", at positions 1470 to 1796 of the family's 1831-position model. The record is from RNAcentral.
CCCUUAGAUGUUCUGGGCUGCACGCGCGCUACACUGAUGCGCUCAACGAGUUUUAACCUUGCCUGGAAAGGUUGGGUAAUCUUUUUAAAACGCAUCGUGAUGGGGAUAGAUUAUUGCAAUUAUUAAUCUUCAACGAGGAAUUCCUAGUAAGCGCGAGUCAUCAGCUCGUGCUGAUUACGUCCCUGCCCUUUGUACACACCGCCCGUCGCUCCUACCGAUUUCGAGUGGUUCGGUGAACCUUUCGGACCGGCAAUGCCUCGUGUUGCGCCGGAAAGUCAAGUAAACCAUAUCACUUAGAGGAAGGAGAAGUCGUAACA